GAAAAAAUGUAUGGAGUGCAGAGGAAAAUGAAGGAAGUUGCGGAGGAGGCCAAGCCUCUUCUCUCAUUGCAAGACAAGAAUAACAUGGCAGACAAACAAGAAGAGGCCUUAGCCAAAGAUAUACAACAUCUUGCCACCUGGAUUGAUAUGAUAGAUGCCAUGAAUGAUGAGCAAUUAAAGGAACACAUAAGGAACAGACCAAAAACGAAUUCAUCAGUAAACACCCACAAAAAUGGUGAAAAAAAAGUGAGAAUUUAUUUCCAUCUGUUUUACAGAUUGAUAUGAUAGAUGCCAUGAAUGAUGAGCAAUUAAAGGAAUACAUAAAGAACAGACCUGAAGAGUUGAAGACAGUGAAGAUCCAGAAGAGCAAGCCCAGGCAAAAAGUAGCAUUCAAUUUCAACUUCAUCUUUAAAUUAAAAUUAAAACCUUAUAUUUAAUCAAGGUAGUAUAUUUCUUUAGUAAACUUGUAGCUUUAAAAAAUUAAUGGGAAUGAAAAUUAUGCAGGUGCAGAAAGCUGCAAAGUCCAACCCUACAACUUCAACUGGAAUAAUGGCUUCUGUCUGGAAAUUCCACAAAGAUGACAAUGAAGAUCAGAGCUCUACAAGAUCAUCUGAAGCCCGAAAAUUUUAACUUAGACACGAGAAAUAAGGUUAUAUUUGGAAUAAAUUUAGGAUUUCAAGCGAACGCUACAAAAUGUCCAUUUGUUCCAAAAGCAAGUUUAUUCUAGUAUUAAAUGUAAAUCAGCUCCCAAAAGCAAGUUGUAAUGAGUGAAUAAGAAAGUAUAUCAAAA
Carica papaya (papaya) is the source of this 790-nucleotide non-coding RNA. NCBI's taxonomy places the organism in Eukaryota, Viridiplantae, Streptophyta, Magnoliopsida, Brassicales, Caricaceae. The record is from RefSeq and is a predicted model, not a curated record.